Molecule: long non-coding RNA, 790 nt
Organism: Homo sapiens (human)
Lineage: Eukaryota; Metazoa; Chordata; Mammalia; Primates; Hominidae
Gene: LACTB2-AS1
Product: LACTB2 antisense RNA 1
Source: Ensembl
GCGCCUGCUCAGCAGCCUGAGGCCGCGGCCGGGUGCCCUCCUGCCCUCCUGGCCAUCCAGGGAUUGGGUGUCAGUGGCCUGUUGCACAUUGUCACUUCUACAAGUGACUAACACCGUCAGGAUAAUCUAAAACUACGAAUACUACCUGACUCCACAAGGGUACGGUGUAUUCUCCAGUUUUAGCAUCUGCCUUAAAAAUUACCUCAGAGUUAAGCACUGCUGGGGACUUAUUUCUACUCUUGUUUUCCUUCUAACAGGUCCCUCAGCUGUAGGUCUGUUGGAGUUUGCUGGAGGUCCACUCCAGAUGCUGUUUGCCUGGGUAUCAGCAGUGGAGGCUGCAGAACAGCAAAUAUUGCAGAACAGUAAAUAUUGCUGCCUGAUCCUUCCCUCUGGAAGCUUCGUCCCAGAAGGCCACCUGCCUAUAUGAGGAUUCUACCUUCCCUGCUACCAGCCACUUCACUAACUUUUUCUGGAGAGAUGACUUCAAAAUACUCAAAGUCGCAAGAUAAAUACACAGAAACGAUUAACGUUGCACAGAGUUGACCCAGUCAUUCUGUAAAUUGCUGCAGAAAAAUUGGAUUUAUUUAUUAUAUAUUUUACACAAAUUAGAAAGAAAGCAAAGUUAUUUAGUAAGGUAACUAUAUUUGUCCAGAAUCUUCCUGUGACAGUCUUCUUCUGGGAACAGACUUUGCUCACUCCAGCCACAGGGGUAGCUGGGCUAAAUGCAGUACCUAAUGUUUCCUUGACCACAGGGACUGGUCUAAGGAAUGGGUAAUGAGCCAGUAUAAAU